RNAcentral lists this ribosomal RNA (468 nucleotides) under uncultured bacterium. RNAcentral's name for it is "partial 16S ribosomal RNA". It matches the Rfam family "Bacterial small subunit ribosomal RNA", at positions 28 to 507 of the family's 1533-position model. The record is from RNAcentral.
GACGAACGCUGGCGGCGUGCUUAACACACGCAAGUCGAACGGAAAGGCCCUGCUUUUGUGGGGUGCUCGAGUGGCGAACGGGUGAGUAACACGUGAGUAACCUGCCCUUGACUUUGGGAUAACUUCAGGAAACUGGGGCUAAUACCGGAUAGGAGCUCCUGCUGCAUGGUGGGGGUUGGAAAGUUUCGGCGGUUGGGGAUGGACUCGCGGCUUAUCAGCUUGUUGGUGGGGUAGUGGCUUACCAAGGCUUUGACGGGUAGCCGGCCUGUGAGGGUGACCGGCCACAUUGGGACUGAGAUACGGCCCAGACUCCUACAGGAGGCAGCAGUGGGGAAUAUUGCACAAUGGGCGGAAGCCUGAUGCAGCAACGCCGCGUGCGGGAUGACGGCCUUCGGGUUGUAAACCGCUUUCGCCUGUGACGAAGCGUGAGUGACGGUAAUGGGUAAAGAAGCACCGGCUAACUACGUG